CAGCCGCCGCGGGAAUACGUAGGUGGCAAGCGUUGUCCGGAAUUAUUGGGCGUAAAGGGCUCGCAGGCGGUUUCUUAAGUCUGAUGUGAAAGCCCCCGGCUCAACCGGGGAGGGUCAUUGGAAACUGGGAAACUUGAGUGCAGAAGAGGAGAGUGGAAUUCCACGUGUAGCGGUGAAAUGCGUAGGGAUGUGGAGGAACACCAGUGGCGAAGGCGACUCUCUGGUCUGUAACUGACGCUGAGGAGCGAAAGCGUGGGGAGCGAACAGGAUUAGAUACCCCCGUAGUCCCUGUCUCUUAUAA
Molecule: ribosomal RNA, 301 nt
Filed under: uncultured bacterium
Lineage: Bacteria
Description: partial 16S ribosomal RNA
Rfam family: Bacterial small subunit ribosomal RNA
Source: RNAcentral